AUACGGAGGGUGCAAGCGUUAAUGGGAUUUACUGGGCGUAAAGCGUGCGUAGGCGGCUUGUUAAGUCAGAUGUGAAAGCCCCGGGCUCAACUUGGGAACUGCAUUUGAUACUGACAGGCUAGAGUAUGGUAGAGGGAAGUGGAAUUCCGCAUGUAGCGGUGAAAUGCGUAGAUAUGCGGAGGAACACCAGUGGCGAAGGCGACUUCCUGGACCAAUACUGACGCUGAGGUACGAAAGCGUGGGGAGCAAACAGGAUUAGAUACCCCAGUAGUCC
RNAcentral lists this ribosomal RNA (274 nucleotides) under uncultured bacterium. Its description in RNAcentral is "partial 16S ribosomal RNA". It matches the Rfam family "Bacterial small subunit ribosomal RNA", at positions 523 to 796 of the family's 1533-position model. The record is from RNAcentral.